Molecule: non-coding RNA, 77 nt
Organism: Paramuricea clavata
Lineage: Eukaryota; Metazoa; Cnidaria; Anthozoa; Malacalcyonacea; Plexauridae
Source: the annotation of a GenBank genome assembly
GACCGCGUAGCUCAGUUGGCAGAGCAUUGCAUGGGCUAGUAUUCCAUAGGUCGUAGGUUCGAUUCAAACCGUGGCCG